Bos taurus (domestic cattle) is the source of this 930-nucleotide long non-coding RNA. Lineage: Eukaryota; Metazoa; Chordata; Mammalia; Artiodactyla; Bovidae. The record is from Ensembl.
GCAGUACAUGGGUUCACAAAAGAAUUGGAUACAACUUAGUGACUAAACAACAAAAACAAAAUAUUCUUGUACAAGAAAUUCUCAGAGUGGUGACCUGCUAUUCUAGGUCAGGUCCCAGAAGCAGAGCCUGACACCUGGAUUCUGGUGGAGAUAAUUUACUUCAGGUGCUCUCAGGUGAAACCUAUAAGGGACAGAGGCAGCAGAGUAAGAAUGAGGUCUUAGGUCAAGUCUUGGAUUAUCCUUGAGACAAGGGGGCUGCCUUCUGUACCCCGUAUCAGUCAUCAGUUGGGCUGACCCCUCGGAGUGUGGGGGUAUAACUUCUUGGAUGAGAUGGCACCAAUCAGCUGAGGACAAGUCUCUUGAGAGGAAGCAGCUGUGAGCCAUCAACCCCCGAUACCAACAGCAGAUGUGGAAAGACUUCCUUGACCUGACCGCCAGGUUCCUGUGUCGGUGAGAUCCUCCAGGCAAGAAUACUUCUCCAGGGGAUCUUCCUAACCCAGGGAUCGAAUCUGGGUCUUUGUGAUAUGAAGGGAAUUGUAAGAUCUAAGUCCUGUUCUUCAGGAGAAGGCAAUGGCACCCCACUUCAGUACUCUUGCCUGGAGAAUCCCAUGGACGGAGGAACCUGAUUUCAGCAGCCCCAUCAGGAGUAUGGGUCCAGCCUCUGCAGAGGAAGUUUCUAGCAACCAGGAUGCAGUUAAUACCUGGCGGUGAUGCCGGACACCAUGGGCCCUGCUGUGUCUCUUUGUCACACUGCUGCUGCCUUGGUUCAGACAUCUUCCUGUCUGGGUCUGGGUGCCAAUCCCCCAAAUGUCCCACCUGCAGUCCUGUACCCUCCCAUCCAUUCUGCAUGCUGCAGCCAUAGUGCUUUGUCUGAAAGAUGUAUCUAAUAAAUUCUCUCAACAAAUACUGUACAUUAAAGCAUAUAUAUGG